Molecule: long non-coding RNA, 1146 nt
Filed under: Ficedula albicollis (Collared flycatcher)
Lineage: Eukaryota; Metazoa; Chordata; Aves; Passeriformes; Muscicapidae
Description: lncRNA (ENSFALG00000024395.1)
Source: RNAcentral
CCCCCCCCCCCCCCCCCCCCCCCCCCCCCCCCCCCCCCCCCCCCCCCCCCCCCCCCCCCCCCCCCCCCCCCCCCCCCCGUGCUCCCACCGGGAAAACCGGCUCCGUGCUGGCACCGCGCUGCUCCAGCCCGGCACUGCCACACCCGGCUCCGUCCUACCUGUGCCCACGCCCCGCGGCCGCCAGCCUUGACCUUGGUGCCAAACUGGGGAGCGGGCGUGGGAGCGGGCACUGCCAGGGGCCCCUCGUCCUCCCCAGCCCGUGGGACAGCGGGAUGGGAGCGCUGGAGGUGAUUUAAAACCCGCCCCGGGCACAGGUUUGGGACCAGGAGCUGUCGCGGGAUGGGGGCUGGCAUCUGCCGGCUGAGCCAGGGAGCAGGAGGGGACACUCAGAGCGGGACACUAAACACGGGAAUGUGCCAGCCAUCCUGCGAAGUCUCCUCGGAGCCAGCCGGGGAGGAAGCAGCUGGAGCCGCGGAGCUGGAGGAAGCGGUGGAAAAGCUCCUCCUUCCUCUCGCUGUGCUGCUGCUCCUUCCCCGAGCGCAACAGGCGGAAACAGCCCCGGCAGGAUCCUGCGGCGCUGCCCGGGCACGAUCCGCGGGGACGAAAGGUCUCACUCAUUCCCAGAGCCUGGGCACCGCCAGCAGCUCGGGGCGUAACCGAGGGAGGAAGAGGAGGAGGAGGGAGGAAGGAGGACGUGGUGGCGUGACCAGAAAGUUCAAGCUGUUCCCAGCUGCGAGGCGGCCCCGGGGAGUCGCCGCCGAGGUGGAUGCACGCCUUGGGCUCGCUCUGGGUCCCUGGAUGCUUCCAGACCCCUGGAAGCUGGGGCUUGGCUCGGCGUGGGGCAGCCAGCGUGGAAACGGCUCCAGGAGGUUUUUCCUGGGCUGGGCUUGUUUAGCCGGGAGCUGUGGGAGGGAGGGUUGGAAGUGGCCGGGCUGGGAGCGGAGGCAUCCUGUUUAUCCUCCUGAAAUAGCUGCCCUUGGCCGCCGCGGGGCUGGGCAGGGGGCGGCAGGAUGCGCACAGCCCUCCCCCGCCCCCCCCCCCCCCCCCCCCCCCCCCCCCCCCCCCCCCCCCCCCCCCCCCCCCCCCCCCCCCCCCCCCCCCCCCCCCCCCCCCCCCCCCCCCCCCCCCCCCCCCCCCCCCCCCCCC